This 230-nucleotide ribosomal RNA is filed under the name uncultured bacterium. RNAcentral describes it as "partial 16S ribosomal RNA". It matches the Rfam family "Bacterial small subunit ribosomal RNA", at positions 125 to 334 of the family's 1533-position model. The record is from RNAcentral.
UUUGCCUUUGGGUGGGGAAUACCAACCGGAAACGGUUGUUAAUACCGCAUAAUGCAGCGGCUCGACAUCGAGACAGUUGUUAAAGCGGGGGAUUGGAGCAAUCCGACCUCGCGCCUGAAGAGAAGCCUGCGGCAGAUUAGCUAGUUGGUAAGGUAAUGGCUUACCAAGGCGACGAUCUGUAACCGGCCUGAGAGGGCGGUCGGUCACACUGACACUGACAUACGGGUCAG